AGCGAACGCUGGCGGCAGGCCUAACACAUGCAAGUCGAACGAACUCUUCGGAGUUAGUGGCGGACGGGUGAGUAACACGUGGGAACGUGCCUUUAGGUUCGGAAUAACUCAGGGAAACUUGUGCUAAUACCGAAUGUGCCCUUCGGGGGAAAGAUUUAUCGCCUUUAGAGCGGCCCGCGUCUGAUUAGCUAGUUGGUGAGGUAAAGGCUCACCCAGGCGACGAUCAGUAGCUGGUCUGAGAGGAUGAUCAGCCACAUUGGGACUGAGACACGGCCCAAACUCCUACGGGAGGCAGCAGUGGGGAAUCUUGCGCAAUGGGCGAAAGCCUGACGCAGCCAUGCCGCGUGAAUGAUGAAGGUCUUAGGAUUGUAAAAUUCUUUCACCGGGGACGAUAAUGACGGUACCCGGAGAAGAAGCCCCGGCUAACUUCGUG
Molecule: ribosomal RNA, 433 nt
Filed under: uncultured bacterium
Lineage: Bacteria
Description: partial 16S ribosomal RNA
Rfam family: Bacterial small subunit ribosomal RNA
Source: RNAcentral